CCUACGGGAGGCAGCAGUGAGGAAUAUUGGACAAUGGGUGCAAGCCUGAUCCAGCCAUCCCGCGUGCAGGAAGACGGCCCUAUGGGUUGUAAACUGCUUUUAUACAGGAAGAAACCUAGAUACGUGUAUUUAGCUGACGGUACUGUAUGAAUAAGCACCGGCUAACUCCGUGCCAGCAGCCGCGGUAAUACGGAGGGUGCAAGCGUUAUCCGGAAUCAUUGGGUUUAAAGGGUCCGUAGGCGGUUUGUUAAGUCAGUGGUGAAAGCCCAUCGCUCAACGGUGGAACGGCCAUUGAUACUGACAGACUUGAAUUAUUAGGAAGUAACUAGAAUAUGUAGUGUAGCGGUGAAAUGCUUAGAGAUUACAUGGAAUACCAAUUGCGAAGGCAGGUUACUACUAAUAUAUUGACGCUGAUGGACGAAAGCGUGGGUAGCGAACAGGAUUAGAUACCCGAGUAGU
RNAcentral lists this ribosomal RNA (459 nucleotides) under uncultured Flavobacteriaceae bacterium. RNAcentral describes it as "bacterial SSU rRNA". It matches the Rfam family "Bacterial small subunit ribosomal RNA", at positions 338 to 794 of the family's 1533-position model. Lineage: Bacteria; Pseudomonadati; Bacteroidota; Flavobacteriia; Flavobacteriales; Flavobacteriaceae. The record is from RNAcentral.